GAUGAAGAACGCAGCGAAAUGCGAUAAGUAAUGUGAAUUGCAGAAUUCAGUGAAUCAUCGAAUCUUUGAACGCACCUUGCACCCUUUGGCAUUCCGAAGGGUAUGCUCGUUUGAGUGUCAUUGUACUCUCACACUCUCUGAUCCUUUGGAUUUGGGGAGCAGUGGACUUGGGUGCUUGCUGCUUCCUUGUGGCUCACCUGAAAUGCAUCAGUGCAUCUCUCGAUUGGACAUAGUACGGCGUGAUAAGUGUCUUCGCCGGCACCUCAUAUGAGGGUGGCCGAUCGGGAGCUCUGUGCUUUCAAACCGUCUUCGGACAACGCUGACAACUUGACCUCAAAUCGAGUAGGACUACCCGCUGAACUUAAGCAUAUCAAUAAGCGGAGGA
Molecule: unclassified non-coding RNA, 385 nt
Filed under: soil metagenome
Description: partial contains 5.8S ribosomal RNA, internal transcribed spacer 2, and large subunit ribosomal RNA
Rfam family: 5.8S ribosomal RNA (bases 1-120)
Source: RNAcentral